CCAAGAUAUUGGACAUUGUCCCUCUUGGCGAUGGCCUGAGAACCAAUCAUCACAUCCCUGCCUACCUCACUCGGCUCGGCGCCAAACUUGCACUCCAGGUAUUCUGUCUUAGAACUGCUUAUUUUGAAACCUUUAGACUCGAGAGUCUGUCUCUAUACCUCUAACCUUUCACUAACACCGACCCUCGUCUCGUCUAUCAAUACUAUAU
Molecule: long non-coding RNA, 208 nt
Filed under: Nicotiana benthamiana
Lineage: Eukaryota; Viridiplantae; Streptophyta; Magnoliopsida; Solanales; Solanaceae
Description: long non-coding RNA (NBEN_LNC022122)
Source: RNAcentral